ACCUGGGUGGCUCAGUUGGUUAAGCAUCUGACUUUAACUCAGUCAUGAUCUCACAGUUUGUGAGUUCGAGCCCCACAUCAGGCU
RNAcentral lists this transfer RNA (84 nucleotides) under Felis catus (domestic cat). It matches the Rfam family "tRNA". Rfam says of the family: Transfer RNA (tRNA) molecules are approximately 80 nucleotides in length. Their secondary structure includes four short double-helical elements and three loops (D, anti-codon, and T loops). Further hydrogen bonds mediate the characteristic L-shaped molecular structure. tRNAs have two regions of fundamental functional importance: the anti-codon, which is responsible for specific mRNA codon recognition, and the 3' end, to which the tRNAs corresponding amino acid is attached (by aminoacyl-tRNA synthetases). tRNAs cope with the degeneracy of the genetic code in two manners: having more than one tRNA (with a specific anti-codon) for a particular amino acid; and 'wobble' base-pairing, i.e. permitting non-standard base-pairing at the 3rd anti-codon position. The record is from Rfam by way of RNAcentral. Lineage: Eukaryota; Metazoa; Chordata; Mammalia; Carnivora; Felidae.